Molecule: non-coding RNA, 52 nt
Organism: Pongo abelii (Sumatran orangutan)
Lineage: Eukaryota; Metazoa; Chordata; Mammalia; Primates; Hominidae
Source: Rfam
UUUUUAGUAUAAGUAUAUCCCAUGCACUAUUUGGGAUAUACUUAUACUUAAG